UUCUCACCACAUACUAAUUCCACUCUUCUAUUCCUUCACCCACCACACUUCAUUUUUCAUUUUCUAUAUCAGAAUAUAAUUCUUCAAAAACGUAAAUUUAAUCAUUUUGCAACAACCAAACUACAAAAACAAAGUUAUGAAUUUUUAUAAAACAAAAUAUCCUUACAAAUUACACGUAAAUUCUAAAAACUUACACCAAUU
This 201-nucleotide long non-coding RNA is filed under the name Vigna radiata. Its description in RNAcentral is "long non-coding RNA (VRAD_LNC017943)". Lineage: Eukaryota; Viridiplantae; Streptophyta; Magnoliopsida; Fabales; Fabaceae. The record is from RNAcentral.